Cynara cardunculus var. scolymus (artichoke) is the source of this 268-nucleotide long non-coding RNA. RefSeq lists it as uncharacterized. NCBI's taxonomy places the organism in Eukaryota, Viridiplantae, Streptophyta, Magnoliopsida, Asterales, Asteraceae. The transcript has 2 exons. The record is from RefSeq and is a predicted model, not a curated record.
CAUGUGUUCUUAUCUCUUCCGCUCGAAAAAUUUCUUCACCUCAAAUUCAUAAUCCAAAAGUUGCUGAAGCCCAGAAAGGAUACCAUGUUGACGGCACGAUUGGUGGUUGGGGUCCAUGGUUUAAUCAUAAUCCCGGUGAUAACAACGGUGUUGGGGUCGAUGGAAGAGGAGGAGGCAACUAAAAAUGAGGCAAUAUGAUCACGUAACUUGACAUUGUCGUACUGCUUUGCAAAGAAUAAUAAAUAUGAAUAAGUUUAUGUUGAUUUUA